GGGAUUGUGGCUCAGUGGUAGAGCGCUCGCCUCACAUGCGUGAGACACUGGGUUCGAUCCUCAGCACCA
This is a non-coding RNA of Ictidomys tridecemlineatus (thirteen-lined ground squirrel), 69 nucleotides long. The record is from Rfam. Lineage: Eukaryota; Metazoa; Chordata; Mammalia; Rodentia; Sciuridae.